This is a long non-coding RNA of Ziziphus jujuba (common jujube), 583 nucleotides long. RefSeq lists it as uncharacterized. The transcript is spliced from 2 exons. The record is from RefSeq and is a predicted model, not a curated record. Lineage: Eukaryota; Viridiplantae; Streptophyta; Magnoliopsida; Rosales; Rhamnaceae.
CCAAGUUGUAUGAGGCCAUCCUUAUGAGUCGAUCCCUCAGGGCAAGAGAAAUACCCGAGCAUUCCUUCAUUUUUCUGACAAUCAUAGUUUAUUGUAAUUUCUGCAAAACCUUGAGCAUAUUCAAAUAGUUGGGAAUUGAAGUUGAGAUGUAGAUCACGAUGCCCACAAUCUUCCACCCUAUCAUCUCCCCAGAAAGGGUAGUGAAUGUUCGUGAUAUUCCCACAAGUGAAUCGUUUGCUGCAGCUAUUGAACAAAUCCAAGCUCCAACAUGGAGGAAACUAGAUGAUAAAUAACAGCAAAGAAAAUUGAAGAAGAAGAAGAAAAGGAGUCGAGGAGGAAAGCCGGGAAUUCAUUUCCAGAAAGUAGAGGUUUAGGUGGAGAAAAUGAAGUCUUCGUGAAUUAAAAUGAGUGGUAGAUCCAACAAAGAUUUGACGUUUAGUUGACUCAAACGUAUUCAUAAUUGCGAGUCCUCUGCUACUCUGUUUUUACUUUUCUUUAUUUGUGUUUGUUUUUCUCUCCAUUGUGGCUAUAAUUACAGCGAAAACCAUAAAGAUUACCGUAAUUUGGUCCUUGUAUCAAUUUG